CGUAGGGACCGAGCGUUGUCCGGAUUCAUUGGGCGUAAAGAGCUCGUAGGCGGCUGUUCAAGUCGAACGUGAAAACUCGGGGCUCAACUCCGAGCCUGCGUUCGAUACUGAAUGGCUAGAGUCUGGUAGGGGGAUCUGGAAUUCCUGGUGUAGCGGUGGAAUGCGCAGAUAUCAGGAGGAACACCGGUGGCGAAGGCGGGAUCCUGGGCCAGUACUGACGCUGAGGAGCGAAAGCGUGGGGAGCAAACAGGAUUAGAUACCCUGGUAGUCCACGCCGUAAACGAUGGGCGCUAGGUGUGGGAGGUCAUCGACUCCUUCCGUGCCGCAGCUAACGCAUUAAGCGCCCCGCCUGGGGAGUACGGCCGCAAGGCUA
This 373-nucleotide ribosomal RNA is filed under the name uncultured organism. RNAcentral describes it as "bacterial SSU rRNA". It matches the Rfam family "Bacterial small subunit ribosomal RNA", at positions 526 to 896 of the family's 1533-position model. The record is from RNAcentral.